Molecule: ribosomal RNA, 460 nt
Filed under: uncultured bacterium
Lineage: Bacteria
Description: partial 16S ribosomal RNA
Rfam family: Bacterial small subunit ribosomal RNA
Source: RNAcentral
CCUACGGGAGGCAGCAGUGAGGAAUAUUGGUCAAUGGACGAGAGUCUGAACCAGCCAAGUAGCGUGAAGGAUGACUGCCCUAUGGGUUGUAAACUUCUUUUAUAUGGGAAUAAAAUGUUCCACGUGUGGGAUUUUGUAUGUACCAUAUGAAUAAGGAUCGGCUAACUCCGUGCCAGCAGCCGCGGUAAUACGGAGGAUCCGAGCGUUAUCCGGAUUUAUUGGGUUUAAAGGGAGCGUAGGUGGAUUGUUAAGUCAGUUGUGAAAGUUUGCGGCUCAACCGUAAAAUUGCAGUUGAAACUGGCAGUCUUGAGUACAGUAGAGGUGGGCGGAAUUCGAGGUGUAGCGGUGAAAUGCUUAGAUAUCACGAAGAACUCCGAUUGCGAAGGCAGUUCACUGGACUGCAACUGACACUGAGGCGCGAAAGUGUGGGUAUCAAACAGGAUUAGAUACCCCAGUAGUC